Molecule: small nucleolar RNA, 78 nt
Organism: Callorhinchus milii (elephant shark)
Lineage: Eukaryota; Metazoa; Chordata; Chondrichthyes; Chimaeriformes; Callorhinchidae
Source: RefSeq, a predicted model, not a curated record
UUGCAAUGAUGAUGUUGAAUUUCUUCAACUGAAGCUUAAAGUGUGGAACAAACAAUCCGAGUAACACUCGGAAGCCAC